Molecule: transfer RNA, 74 nt
Filed under: Marmota monax (woodchuck)
Lineage: Eukaryota; Metazoa; Chordata; Mammalia; Rodentia; Sciuridae
Description: tRNA.Ala
Source: RNAcentral
AUAAGAAUAUGGCUCAGUGGUAGAGCACUUGCCCAGCAUGUGUGAGGCCCUAGGUUUAAUCCCCAGUUCUAAUG